This 355-nucleotide ribosomal RNA is filed under the name uncultured bacterium. RNAcentral describes it as "bacterial SSU rRNA". It matches the Rfam family "Bacterial small subunit ribosomal RNA", at positions 917 to 1269 of the family's 1533-position model. The record is from RNAcentral.
GGACCCGCACAAGUAGUGGAGCAUGUGGUUUAAUUCGAAGAUACGCGCAGAACCUUACCAACACUUGACAUGUUCGUCGCGACUUUAAGAGAUUAAAGUUUUCGGUUCGGCCGGACGAAACACAGGUGCUGCAUGGCUGUCGUCAGCUCGUGUCGUGAGAUGUUGGUUAAGUCCCGCAACGAGCGCAACCCUCACUUUUUAGUUGCCAUCAUUUAGUUGGGCACUCUGAAAGAACUGCCAGUGAUAAGCUGGAGGAAGGUGGGGAUGACGUCAAGUCCUCAUGGCCCUUACGUGUUGGGCUACACACGUGCUACAAUGGUCAACACAAAGGGCUGCGAGCCAGCGAUGGUAAGCC